This is an RNA transcript of Cryptotermes secundus, 4148 nucleotides long. RefSeq lists it as uncharacterized. The transcript has 5 exons. Lineage: Eukaryota; Metazoa; Arthropoda; Insecta; Blattodea; Kalotermitidae. The record is from RefSeq and is a predicted model, not a curated record.
UUGAAGUUUGAAAUGUCUACUUAUGUAAACAGAAACCAAUUGCCUGUUAUUUUCCUAGAGCACUCAGAUGUGUCAGAACUAGUUGGAACUUGGAAGAUUAAAAGAAAUGUUGUCACUGUGCUUAGUUUCUUGACCUCGGCACUAGAUGGAGGUGAGUGGUCAGCUUCACUCCCCUCCUGCUUUACCCACAAUAGAGAUUGCAGAACUGAUUUAUGACAUCAACUUCCACUCUUGAGCGAGAUUAAAAAUGGGAAUAUUCAGAGGACCCAGUAUGAGUGUACUCAGUGUCAGUGUGAAGGAAGAAAUAACAGGCAGUACGUACGUUUGGUGUUGAGCUACCAGACAUGCCAGAUACACAAGUAUAGCUUUGGUUGGCAGCAUUACAUUCAUAACAUCCGCCUGUAUAGAUGUACCAGCAGUAAAUUUAGAAACCUAUAAAAGCGCUGUCAGAAUACAGCAUCAGAUGCUAUUUGCUUGAUUUAAUUAAUUGAUAACCUGAUGUAUUUUGACAUUGAAAUAUCAUCAGGCUGUUUACUCAGAAUACGCUUGAAAGCUGUUCAAGGUUCUGGUAUGUUUCUGAGAACAGUGAUAGUAAAUUUUAGUGACAAUGUAUUCCAUCUAGGUGAUCUGCUAGAUUAAAUUUAUGAGGUCAGAAUUCUUGUACUCAAGAUCAUCUGAAUUCAGUGCAGAUAUUUUUACAUGACUUUCCCUUGCCUGUUGGCAGUGAUAGAACACAGUAUAUGCAAUGGAUAUCGGACAACUACCUUUGUCUGGGACCCAAUGAAGGUGUUCGUCCCCUCUGUCAGUUAAUCAAGACCAUUUUGAAAUUUUCUACACUUGAGAAGGACAGAGCAUAUGGCACAGAUGGGAGAGAUGAGAACUACAUAUAAAUUUUUUGCCAGAAGACCCAAGGUGAAGUAAACCACUUGGAUGACUGAGGCAUGGAUAGAAGAAUAAUAUUACAGUGAAUCUUAAAGAAAUAUAGUGGGAAGGCAUGGACUGGACUGAUUUGGCUGAGGACAGGUUCCAGUGACAGACUCCUGUGGAAACAGCAAUGAACAUUUGGGUUCCAUAAAAUGUGGGUAAUCUCUUGAGUAGCUUAGUGACUCUUAGAUUCUCAAGGACUCUGCUUAAUGAAAACAGAUAUUGGCAGCAUUCUGGAAGAAACCUGGAGCCCUUAAGUACUGAAAUUAUAUGCCAACCAUUGACCCAGCCCAAGAACAAGUGUUAGUUGGAACUUGGAAAUUUUGGUUCAUGGAAUGCUGUAUAUAAAGUUUAAAGUGUGUUACUUUUUGUGUUCUUGUUUGCUUAAAGACAUGUCCAUAAUAUAAUACACAUAUAUUUGACCGUGUCUUACAGCAGAGAGUGCAGCAUUGUGCAUUUAGCAUAUGUGGUGUUGUUAUGAUACUCGUAACCUGAACAGUAAGUUCAUGGAUAGCCAUCAUGACCUACGUGCAGCACACAGUGAGUUUACUAAAGCUCUAGAAGCAAGAGUAUAUGAUCCUGAAAUGAUGGAUCAGUGUAGAAAACGCAACCUAUCAAAUGAAAAUAGAAAUAACAUUAUGCUUUUGAAAUAGUAAAACUUAUUGAAAUGUAAUGAGCUGGCACUCCAAGAUUUUGUCCAAAUUCUAACAGAAUGGAAAAUUGGUUAUUGAGCUUGUAAAAAUCAGAACCUUUAGAACAUUAUUGCUGAUCAGUUCUUCUGAUAUUAAAUUUCUUGCUGCAGUUAAAUCCCAGUGUGAGGUUUUGCCGAGGGUGCGUGGAUUUGAACUCUGAAUUGAGGAAGACCUUCAUUGGCAGAAAAUAUGUACUACUCAGACUGUGGACUUCAGAUCAUUAGAAAUAAACAAAAUCUUAAACUGCCACACACAGAAUGGCUGUUCCUCUAUAUCUUCUUCAGAGCACUGAUUACUUUCAGAAGAAUAAGGUAUAGCACCAAUAGUUUUAGCCAGUUGUCCUGUGUAAUUCACUAUCAGUGGAGGUACAGCUCCAUACAUACUUCACCUUGGCACUAGAUGAAGAAUGUUGUGGCAAGAUGAAAAUGAUUUAUUGUGGCCAUUACAUCAAAUUUAACUAAUUGCACGCAGCAGACUGGUGGAGCACUGGGAUUCUCACAUGUGAGCUCUUAACAGGGAAUCAUCCUUUCAGUGUUGAUGGGAAAAGAAUAUACGAGGAGCGUCUAUGAUGCUGUAACAUUACGGCAAAACCCUGCAUCCCAAAUGGUAUAUUACCUGAGGUGUCAGAUUUUAUAUUAAAAUUGCUGGUGAGGGAUCCAGAGAAACGUUUGGGUGGAGGAGAGAGAGGUGCAGAAAAUGUAAAAAGGCACCCAUUCUUCAGAAAUAUUCUGUUUACUGAUGAUUCAGAGGAAGCUGGCAUUAAGAUUGUUGACUUCAGAUUUGCGGGACUGAAACAAGAUAAUCAGAGGAUGCCCACACCAUGCUUUACUUUGCAGUAUGCUGCACCUGAAGUGCUUGAAGAGGCAUUCAGCAAUGGCAGAGAUGGCUAUGAUGAAAAUUGUGACCUGUGGAGCCUGGGCGUGAUCCUGGUGAGUGCAUUUAUAGUAUUCCUGAUAGAGUAAAAAUGCAUUAAACAGGUGAGAUAAGAAAAACACUUAGAAGAGAAAGAGAAAUUUAGAACAUGACUUCAGAAUGCCAUAUGUAACAAUUUUGGGUUGCUCUCAAUGUUAUAACAAGAAGUGCAUUUUAAGAUGUCCAGUCACAUCCAUGCAGUGCCACAGGGGCAUAGGGGCAUACUUGUCACGGCCUUAUUACAUUGGGAACAGUAUUUGCAGAAAUUAAAAAUCUGUGUAUAUGCAUUCUUUUAACACUUUGAGUCCAUUGAUAUUUAAAUUAAACUCCCUCUACUGAAGGGUUUUAUGUAUCAUUAAGCAAUUCAUAACUUCUCUAAUUCUUUAUAUAAAAACCUGAAAUUUGGGCACACAAAAAUAUAAUCUUUCCUCAGGUGCCUUGCAAACAAAUAGACUUGUUAUGGUUGUAAAUCCUGAGGCUGCUACAGCAUAAUAAGUGUCCACAAAAGAAGACAAAAUAUUUUAAUAUAUUUUAAAAACUGCAGACUUUUCAUCAGCUGGGCUAAAUUCACUUAACACUCCCAACAAUUUAUCUUCAAGUUGCAAUUUUCAAAGCACUUUCCUAAACAGAGCCCCACAAUACAGAGGCAUAAUCUUCUUGUAGCUUUUCCUGUUUGGUGCUUGCCCAUGUCCUCACACACUUUGCAGGUUCACUGAGGUUGACCCACUCAUGUGUGUUGCUGAAAGUCUGUACAGAAAAUUAUAUUUUCUGUUAAGUCUGCCUGCAGAAGCACUCCUUGCCCAUUCCCAAAUAUCUUGCCAUGCACCACUGAGGCCUUCAGCAACCAUCUUGCAGAACAGCUUUAAAAGGAUGUUUUUUCUGUUUCUAUUGUGCAGUGUGUGGGCAUUUACAAUGCACAGAUAAGAGAUGAAACAGAACCUUCUUCUGCCUCGUUGCUGAUUCUGUCUGGAGUGAGCAAUAUGAACAUGCUAAUAUAUGAUCAGACUUGUUGACACCAAUUCUGUAUUUAUGUAGUCCAUAGGUCCAUAACUGCUGCAGGUUUUGCUUAUAGGUGCUGUCACCUGGGUGGCUAAGGGCAAUACCAAAAAUGUGAAUGUUUCUGGUGUCUUUCCAUUUUAUAGCCAAGGGGAGUUGUCUUUCGGAAGCAGGUGCUUCCCAUACCUUCAGUUUUUUUAAUGCAUGUUUAGGUAUCAUUUUACUAUUGGGCAUUACUGUGUCCAUAGAUAUGUCCACGGAUGACCAGAAAGCUUGGGGCUAGGAAACCAUCCAUAUACACAGUAUGCCCCUUGUUCAUCACUUGUACACAGAGCCUCUUUCCAACACUGAAUGUAGUACUGUGAUCGGAAUUAGUAAGAUGUGUGCCACCAGAAAUUUCAGUAUUAUGUUCAUAGCCAUUAUUUGCUUCACAUAGCUGAAAGAUCUUGAUUUCAUACUUACCGUCUUCUCCUUUCUGUACACCUGGAAGAAUAUGUACCCUUGAAAUGCAUAAAUUGCCUUAUUGAUGGUGAGUUCUCUCUCAGGUAUGUAUUUACUUACUCAUGGAGCUGAGCCCUUCUUGAGGAGCUGCCAAUUCUGCAGCUACUCAAGAAUUUUCCAGCA